RNAcentral lists this ribosomal RNA (492 nucleotides) under uncultured bacterium. RNAcentral's name for it is "partial 16S ribosomal RNA". It matches the Rfam family "Bacterial small subunit ribosomal RNA", at positions 29 to 507 of the family's 1533-position model. The record is from RNAcentral.
AGUGAACGCUGGCGGUAGGCCUAACACAUGCAAGUCGAACGGCAGCACAGUAAGAGCUUGCUCUUACGGGUGGCGAGUGGCGGACUGGUGAGGAAUACAUCGGAAUCUACUUUUUCGUGGGGGAUAACGUAGGGAAACUUACGCUAAUACCGCAUACGACCUACGGGUGAAAGCAGGGGAUCUUCGGACCUUGCUCGAUUGAAUGAGCCGAUGUCGGAUUAGCUAUUUGUGGGUGUAAAGGCCCACCAAGGCGACGAUCCGUAGCUGGUAUGAGAGGAUGAUGCGCCACACUGGAACUGAGACACGGUACCGACUUCUAAGGGAAGCAGCAGUGGGGAAUAUUAGACAAUGGACGAAAGCCUGAUCCAGCCAUACCGCGUGAGUGAAGAAGGACUUCGGGUUGUAAAGCCCUUUUGUUGGGAAAGAAAAGAAGCAGGUUAAUACCAGGCUGUUAUGACGGUACCCGAAGAAUAAGCACCGGCUAACUUCGUG